UACUCUAGGAUUUUGCCAACUCAGAAACCUCAUCCCCCCAGACACAGAAAAGGAUGGACAGAUUGAUAGCUUUCUCAUCCUGUGGGUAGUGGUGCAUGAUCAUUCUUAGUUGGUGGAAAGAUCUGUCUGGUUAAUUUAGAUAACAAAGGAGAUUCUGGCAUGCUAACUAGUUACCACUCUGCUGAGUAGUCGGUUUCCCAAUGUCCUAGAGGGCAAUAACAGGUCUGUGAUGCCCUUAGAGGUCCCAGGCUGCCCACUACACUAACUGGCUGGCUCUGUGUGUGCCUACUCUGCCCUAGCAGGUGUGGGUAACCUGUUGAACUCCAUUCAUGAUGGGGAUGGGGGGAGAUUGCAAUUACUCCCCAUGAAUGAGGAAUUCCCAGCAAGUACAAUUCAUAACCUUGUAUUGUUUAAGUCUCUG
RNAcentral lists this non-coding RNA (421 nucleotides) under Monodelphis domestica (gray short-tailed opossum). RNAcentral describes it as "Eukaryotic small subunit ribosomal RNA". It matches the Rfam family "Eukaryotic small subunit ribosomal RNA", at positions 1191 to 1655 of the family's 1831-position model. Lineage: Eukaryota; Metazoa; Chordata; Mammalia; Didelphimorphia; Didelphidae. The record is from Rfam by way of RNAcentral.